GACGAAGAACGUAGCGAAAUGCGAUAAGUAAUGUGAAUUGCAGAAUUCAGUGAAUCAUCGAAUCUUUGAACGCACAUUGCGCCCGCCAGUAUUCUGGCGGGCAUGCCUGUUCGAGCGUCAUUACAACCCUCAGGCCCCCGGGCCUGGCGUUGGGGAUCGGCGGAGCCCCCCGUGGGCACACGCCGUCCCCCAAAUGCAGUGGCGGUCCCGCCGCAGCUUCCAUCGCGUAGUAGCUAACACCUCGCGACUGGAGAGCGGCGCGGCCACGCCGUAAAACACCCAACUCUUCUGAAGUUGACCUCGAAUCAGGUAGGAAUACCCGCUGAACUUAAGCAUAUCAAUAAGCGGAGGA
This 352-nucleotide unclassified non-coding RNA is filed under the name soil metagenome. RNAcentral describes it as "partial contains 5.8S ribosomal RNA, internal transcribed spacer 2, and large subunit ribosomal RNA". The stretch from base 1 to 120 matches the Rfam family "5.8S ribosomal RNA", at positions 35 to 154 of the family's 154-position model. The record is from RNAcentral.